This 724-nucleotide ribosomal RNA is filed under the name Ficophagus religiosus. RNAcentral describes it as "SSU rRNA". It matches the Rfam family "Eukaryotic small subunit ribosomal RNA", at positions 105 to 868 of the family's 1831-position model. The record is from RNAcentral. Lineage: Eukaryota; Metazoa; Nematoda; Chromadorea; Rhabditida; Aphelenchoididae.
AACAGAUAUAAUCUACGUGCUGUGACGUUUUAAACGGAUAACUGCGGUAAUUCUGGAGCCAAUACGUGCUAAAAGCCGGAUUCAGCAAUGAGUCCGGUGCACUUAUCGGAGCAAAACCUUUCCUGGUUUGAUGCUAACUCUGGAUAACCUGGCUUAUCGCACGACCCAGCGUCGGCGAAAUCGCACUCGAGUAUCUGCCUUAUCAACUAUCGUCGGUAGUGUAUUGGACUACCGAGGUGUUGACGGGUGACGGAGAAUCAGGGUUCGACUCCGGAGAGGGAGCCUUAGAAACGGCUACCAUGUCUAAGGACAGCAGCAGGCGCGCAACUUAUCCACUGUUCAUCGAACGAGAUAGUGACGAGAAAUAACAAGCUUGUUCUCUUUGAGGUCGAGCAUUGGAAUGGAUGGAAUGUAAACGAUUCCAUGAGUAACAACGAGAGGGCAAGUCUGGUGCCAGCAGCCGCGGUAAUUCCAGCUCUCGUAAUGUAUAGAAUUAUUGUUGCGGUUAAAAAGUUCGUAGUUGGAUCUCCUACUGUGAGCGGUCGCGUCCAACGGCGUGGACUGGGAGCAGUACUUGUGCCACGGUCGGGGUGACCCGACGGGGCGCGGAUUACUUUGAACGGCUUAAGUGCUCAAGGCGAGUCUUCGGACUGAAUACCGGUGCAUGGAAUAAUGGAACAAGGUUUCGGCCGAGUUUUAUUGGUUUUGUCGGCCAAAACAAUGG